RNAcentral lists this ribosomal RNA (403 nucleotides) under uncultured bacterium. RNAcentral describes it as "partial 16S ribosomal RNA". It matches the Rfam family "Bacterial small subunit ribosomal RNA", at positions 29 to 526 of the family's 1533-position model. The record is from RNAcentral.
AUUGAACGCUGGCGGCAGGCCUAACACAUGCAAGUCGAGCGAGCGGCGGACGGGUGCGUAAUGUAUGGGGACUGCCCGAUAGCGGGGGAUAACUACUGGAAACGGUAGCUAAUACCGCAUACUAUCGGAUAACCCAUUUGGGCUUAGCUAGUAGGUGAGGUAAUGGCUCACCUAGGCGACGAUCCCUCGCUGGUCUGAGAGGAUGAUCAGCCACAGAGGGAAUGAGACACGGCCCAGUAUCCUGCGGUGGGAGCAGGGGGGAAUACUGGACAAGAGGAGCAAGCCUGAUGCGGCCAGGCCGAGCGUAGGAAGAAGGCAUUAGGGUAGUAAAGGACUUUCAGUCGGGAGGAGUGACUGACAGAAGAAACAACGGCUAACUCCGUGCAAGCAGCCACGGUAAUAC